GCAUACUUCUCGCGGCUUCUCAUGUGUGCUGUCAUGCUGUGUCACUCAGCAAAGCUGUGCCUGGGCCGUCUGGAAGGUUUCGUUGCAUGCGAGUCGCCACGUUCUUCACCUGCGCGACGGCACGCGUCAGACGCCUGCCUCCAUCAGACCAUGAGCCGCGAAGAUAAAUCCACGCGCUCACGCACGGUCGGUCACGUUCACCCACCGUCUCGUCGUGCGAUCUGAAGAUGUCCUCUAGCGAUCAGAAGCCGGCCGCCGCGCCCGCGUCGGGCGCCGCCGAGCCGUCGCCGCCGGGCAGGCCGACGGCGGUGUCGUCGCAGGUCCUGGACAUGGGCGCGCAGAUGGUGCAGGCGCUGAAGCCGGUGCGGCAGAUGAAGCUGCACGCGUGCAGCUUCGCGCUCUACGCCCACGACCUGCGCCGCCAGAUGGAGGUCCACCACUUCCUCUCCCGGCUCAACCAGGACGUCGUCCAGUGCGCCGUCUACGACUCCGACAAGCCCUCGGCCCGCCUCAUCGGCGUGGAGUACAUCGUGUCGGACACCAUCUUCGAGGGCCUGCCGCCGGAGGAGCAGAGGCUGUGGCACUCGCACGCGUACGAGGUGAAGGCCGGGCUGUGGACCGCCGUGGGCGUGCCGGAGGCGCUGCAGAGCUCGGAGAUGGCGAGCCUCGCCAGGACGUACGGCAAGUUCUGGUGCACGUGGCAGGUGGACCGCGGCGACGCGCUGCCGCUCGGCGCGCCGGCGCUGAUGGUGUCGCCGCAGGCCGCGGAGCCGGGGCGAGCGCGCGGCGACCUGGUGCGCGGCCGCGACGAGAGGUACGGGGUGGACAGCUCGGCGGGGGGGCUCAAGGCGGCCAGGGUGGAGAUGGAGGAGCCGGAGUGGAUCAACCCCAACGCCGACUACUGGCGGCUGCACGGCAAGGGCUUCGCGGUGGACGUCGUCCAGGCCGAGAUGAAGCGCCACGCGCCCUUCCCGUGAGCCACCGCCGCCGCCGCCGCGGGGGUGUUCGUUGCGACGCGUGCUUGUUAAGAUCGAUGUGGCAGCAUGAACGGAAACAGAGUGCGGAGACAUCGACUAUCUCCCUGAAGUUACAUAAUGCCAUCCCGUAGUAUCAACUGUCUCCCUGACCUUGGGAGCAGGGGCAACUAGAAUGGGCGAGAUGAGACACGUCGCGUCCUUAAUGGUGCCCGUAUAAACCCUCUGUAACGCGCCAUUAGCAUAACAUGACAACUCCUAGACCGGAGGCCCAGUGUUGUCGAAGAGUCCUAACUCUUUGAGUUUGGGUAAAGUCUCUCAGAGAGCAUGAAACAUUGCUGCUGAGGAUCACGGGCUUGGCGCAGAAUUGGCUAAUUCUGUGCCCGGCCGACAAGAAGGUGGUCAUGGAGAGCUGGCUGAAAGCUGUGAAGGAAAAUGCUUGCAAGCCGGAGAGGCUGUUGCUGUGAACAAGGCACUGGAGAAGCUGGAGUUUGAAAACGUGCUGGCGGGGUGGAGAUACAACAAGACACCGUCCAGAGCUCAUCAAUGGAGCUCGGGGAGAAGCUCAGAAGAUCAGAUUCCGUUGGAGCUUGCCUGGAGGUCGCAGCUGCGGACGAGUACAGGUCUGCGCAAUGUGCUCUGAUUUCUCCGCCUGUAAUUGCUGCCCAGAAUAUGUGGUCUGGCUGUGCUGAUAAAUUGUUCUCAGUGUGUGGGUGCGAGCUAUUGAUGUGGAUGUUUCGAUACAGUUGUGUAGCCAAACUGUAAUGA
RNA transcript from Panicum hallii, 1742 nucleotides. It is a transcript of the gene named oil body-associated protein 2B, with no coding region annotated. The record is from RefSeq and is a predicted model, not a curated record. The transcript has 3 exons. NCBI's taxonomy places the organism in Eukaryota, Viridiplantae, Streptophyta, Magnoliopsida, Poales, Poaceae.